This 462-nucleotide ribosomal RNA is filed under the name uncultured bacterium. Its description in RNAcentral is "bacterial SSU rRNA". It matches the Rfam family "Bacterial small subunit ribosomal RNA", at positions 33 to 507 of the family's 1533-position model. The record is from RNAcentral.
ACGCUGGCGGCGUGCCUAACACAUGCAAGUCGAGCGAGUGGAUUCCUCGGGAAAGAGCUAGCGGCGGACGGGUGAGUAACACGUGGGCAACCUGCCUCAUAGAGGGGAAUAGCCUCCCGAAAAGGGGAGAUUAAUACCGCAUAAGAUUGUAGCUUCGCAUGAAGUAGCAAUUAAAGGAGCAAUCCGCUAUGAGAUGGACCCGCGUCUGAUUAGCUAGUUGGUGAGGUAACGGCCCCACCAAAGGCGACGAUCAGUAGCCGGCCUGAGAGGGUGAACGGCCACAUUGGGACUGAGACACGGUCCAAACUCCUACGGGAGGCAGCAGUGGGGAAUAUUGCACAAUGGGCGAAAGCCUGAUGCAGCAACGCCGCGUGAGCGAAGAAGGCCUUCGGGUUGUAAAGCUCUGUCCUUGGGGAAGAAGAACUGACGGUACCCUUGGAGGAAGCCCCGGCUAACUACGUG